This 69-nucleotide transfer RNA is filed under the name Sphaerodactylus townsendi. RNAcentral describes it as "tRNA-Ala". The record is from RNAcentral. Lineage: Eukaryota; Metazoa; Chordata; Lepidosauria; Squamata; Sphaerodactylidae.
GCUGUAGCACAGUAGAAGAAACUCUGCUUUGCAUGCAGAAGGUCCCUGGUUCAAUCCCAGGCAUAUCCC